CUCUCUCUCUCUCUCUCUCUCUCUCUCUCUCUCACGAUUUAGUCUUCUCCAUCUUUUUUUUGUUCAACCACCGUCUUCUCCAUCUAUCCUUUGAAUUGUUAAACCUAAAAUCACAAAGUCUUCAGCCUCUUACGAUUCAACCUGUCUGGAUACAAACCUGUCUCUCUAUCUCUAUCUCUCUCACUCGGCCAUGACGAAAGCUUCGUUGACAACGUUUGACUCGAGUCAGAUUCGAGCCACAAACAGAGAUGACAAGUGACAAACAGAUAUGGCGAGUGACAAACAGAGAUGGCGGAGCAGCGCCGGUGGCAAGGUGGAAGAGGCUUCGAUGGUUCAGUUCACCGGAGACGAAUAAAGGGGGAAGUCUCAGCCUUUCUUUGCCAUGUAAUCUGAACAGGCUGCCAAGUCCCAAGCCGAGGAAGCUCAAGCCAUGGAAGAAAGCUAGUCGGAGAUGGCAGAGAUCGCAGAGAAAGCUAGCGGCGGUUGUGGUGUAGGUGAAGCCGAAUAAGAAGAAAGAGACGUAGAGCUGUAGAAAUUUUAUUAGGUUUUGUUAUUUUUUGGUUAUAUUUUUUUUUGGUUUAUUUAGGGUUGGUUAAUUAGGUUUUGGUUCUUUUUUUUGGUUUGAUGUAUAAACUGAUUUUAUUGUAAAGAAAUUUUAAUUAAUGAAUAAAAUUUAAAUUUGAAAUUUAAA
This is a long non-coding RNA of Raphanus sativus (radish), 691 nucleotides long. RefSeq lists it as uncharacterized. The record is from RefSeq and is a predicted model, not a curated record. The transcript has 2 exons. NCBI's taxonomy places the organism in Eukaryota, Viridiplantae, Streptophyta, Magnoliopsida, Brassicales, Brassicaceae.